Long non-coding RNA from Nyctereutes procyonoides (raccoon dog), 3431 nucleotides. RefSeq lists it as uncharacterized. The record is from RefSeq and is a predicted model, not a curated record. The transcript has 4 exons. Lineage: Eukaryota; Metazoa; Chordata; Mammalia; Carnivora; Canidae.
ACAGACAUAGGGGAAUGAGACAUGCAGACAUGGACUUUUAACAGAGGAGAGCAUAAGGGCUCUGGCCCCACUCCCCAUUAGGUCUCUAGGAGGAGCCCACAGAAUAGAGUGUUCACACAAAAAUAUGGGUAAGUGGGUGGAAUGGUAUAGACAAGCCUAGACAGGGUUUUGUUUUUCCUCCUGAACCUCCACCAGGUCCUGUGUAAUGUGAAGGCUGAGUUGACAGCCCAGUGUUUGGCCAGCCAAGGAGACUUCACCACAAGUUCAUUAGGUAUAGAUGUCAGCAGUAGACAACAGCAGAAAGCACAAGGAUGGGACUGAGCCAACCAUAGCUCGCUGGAUCCAGCCAGCAUACUAAGAAAACAGCAUAAGAUGAUGGCCAAAGACAUCAGGAGCAAGAAGAAUACGGGUACAGUGCCUGGAUAUCUCCUAGCUACCCUAGUUCCUCAGACACAGAGAGAGACGCAGAGACACAGGCAGAAGGAGAAGCAGACUUCACGCAAGGACCCCGAUGUGGGACUCGAUCCCAGGCCUCUAGGAUCACUCCCUGAGCCGAAGGCAGAAGCUCAACCACUGAGCCCCCCAGGCAACAUAUCUAAGAAAUUUGGGACUACAUCAAAAUAAAAAGCAUUUGCAAAGUGAAAGAAACCACCAACAAAACAAAAAGGCAACCAGUGAAUGGGAGAAAAUUGCAAAUAACAUAUCUGAGAAGGGGUUCAUAUCCAAAAUACAUAAAGAACUUAUGAAACUCAACCCCAAGAAAACAAUCUAAUUUAAAAACAUGUGCAGAGGACCUAAAUGGACAUUUUCCAAAGAAGAUAUACAGAUGGUCAACAGACACAUGAAAAGAUGCUCAAGAUCACUAAUCAUCAGGGAAAUGCAAAUCAAAACCAUGAGAUAUCACCUUACACUGUCAGAAUGGUUAAAAUAAAAAAGACAAAUAAUAAGUGUUGGUGAGGAUAUGGAGAAAAAGGAACCCUUGUGCACCACUGGUGGGAAUGUAAAUUGAUACAACCACUAUGGAAAACGGCAUAAAGAUUCCUCAAAAAAAUAAAAAACAGAAAUACCAUAUGAUCUAAUAAUUCCAGUACUGAAUAUUUACUCAAAGAAAAUAAACACACUAAUUCAAAAAGAUGUAUACACCCUUAUGUUUAUUGUAGCAUUACUUUUAAUAGCCAAGAUAUGGAAGCAACCUAAAAGUCCAUUGAUAGAAGAAUGGAUAAGAAAGAUGUGCUCUGAAUGUGUGUGUGUGUGUAUGUAAUAUUACGCACCCAUAAAAAAAUGAGAUUGUGUCAUUUGUGACAACAUGGAUGGACCUGAAGGGUAUUAUGCUAAGUGAAAUAAGUUUGAGAAAGACAAAUACCAUAUGAUGAUACUCAUAUGUGGAAUCUUAAAAAAAAAACCCAACUCAAAACAAAACAAAUGAAUAAGCAACAAAAAGCAGAAUCAGACCUAUAAAUACAGAGAACAAACAAACUGAUGGUUGCCAGAAGGGAGGGGGGGUGAGGGAAUGGGUACAAUGGGUGAAGGGGAGUUGGAGAUACUUUGAGUUAUGAAAUGUCAUGGGAAUAAAAGGCACAGCAUUGGGAAUAUAGGCAAUGAUACUGUAAUAGUGUUGUAUGGUGGGAGAUGGUAGCUACCCUUGUGGCGAGCACAGCAUAAGGUAUAGAGAAGUUGAAUCACUAUGCUGACCACCUGAAACUAAGGUAACAUUGUGCCAACUAUACUCAGAUUUUAAAAAGAGAGAAAAAGAAACAUUGAUCUGUAAGAUGAGUAAACAUUGCUAUUAAUAGUGACAUUUGAUAAGGACCAAUUAUGAAUUAUAUAUAUAUAUAUAUAUAUUUUUUAAAGAUUUAAUUUAUUCAUGAGAGACACACAGAGAGAGAGGCAGAGACACAGGCAGAGGGAGAAGCAGGCUCCAUACAGGGAGCCAGAUGUGGGACUUGAUGCCGGGUCCCCAGGAUCAGGCCCUGGGCCAAAGGCAGGCGCUAAACCGCUGAGCCACCCGGGAAUCCCCUCUUGUGAAUUAUAAAAAGAGGGAAAAUAUCUGAUAUGUAUUGCAUCCAUAUUAAAAUAUGCUAUAACUAUUCCCUUGAUAAGACUUUUGAGAUUAAGGACUCCAGGUUUAAGCAUAACUCUUUACGUGAUACAAGAAGAGAAAAUAAAACCUGUGGCUAUUUACUGUCCUCAAGCAUCAAGAGUAUUAAGUGCCACAGAGAUAAGCAGGGAGAAGCAAACAGAAUUUAAAAAAAUUUUUUUCAAUAUUAUUGCAACUGUUUCAUUUUCAGUUUUUUAAAUUUAAAUUCAAUUUACCAACAUAUGGUAUAACACCCAGUGCUCAUCUCAUCAUGUGCCUGUCACCCAGUUAUCCUAUAUCCCCACCCACCUCCCCCUCUGCAACCCUUGGUUUGUUUCCCCAGAGUUAGGAGUCUCUCAUGGUUUGUCUUCCUCUCUGAUUUUUCCCCAGUUUCCUUCAUUUCUUAUCGUCCUUUUCCUAUUUCUUAUAUUCCAUAUAUGAGUGAAAUUAUAUGAUAAUUGUCUUUCUCCAAUUGACUUACCAUUAGUAGUAAUGAUUCCUUUGGCCGGAGUCUGUGCAUGUGAUUCUUUAGACUGAAAUAAUGCCUUUGGGAAAAAAGUUAAAUUUUCCUGGCAAAGUUUAUCCAGGAGGGGAUUUGGAGUAUCAAUGAGUGUUAAGUUGCAACUGUUGCUAAUGUGAUUUUUAAAAUACUGAAUGUGAGCAUCAAUAAGCUUCUGGACAAUUUGAAUUCUUUCUAUUCUUAAUGUUAACUGAAUUUUAAAAAACCCAGGCAUUAUCGAGAAUGAUUUAUAACAUCAAUUAGACAUUAUCUGUUUAUAAGAUUUUCUAUUAGAUUUGAAAACCUCAGGUUUUUUAAAUAUGAAUUAAUCUUGAGAAAAUACCAUUUACAUUUGAAAAUUUGCAGUGAAGUUAAUCAAUAAUAAUAAUAACAAUAAUGUCCUAAAAUGUCUAACAGAUAUGAAGGAAUGUAUUUUAAAUUUGCUCUUUAAAAGGGAUAAUGGAGCACUUGGGGAGCUCAGUGGUUGAGUGUCUGCCUUUGGCUCAGGGCGUGAUCCCAGGGUCCUGGAAUGGAGUACCACAUUAGGCUCCCCGCAGGGAGCUCCCUUCUCCCUCUAUGUUUCUGCCUCUCUCUCUCUGUAUCUCUCAUAAAUAAAUAAAUAAAAUCCCUAAAAAUAUAAAUAAAAAAUUAAAAGGAAAAUAUAUUACUGGAUUUAGAAUAACUUCCCAAAGCAGACUCUAGGACCCUGAAAAGCCCUUUAAAGUUCUUUCAGUUUGAUAGUUUGUGUUUAUUAUUUUUAACUAUUAAAAUACUAUAUAAUGAUAUAAAAUUUAAGAGAUUCUGAUAUAUAAUUAAAAAUUAGGAGGGUUACUAUUUUUCCUUAUAAAAUUUGUG